CUUUUGAUAAUAAUUUAAGGUCUGACCUGCCCUAUGAAUAUCUUUAUUUAAAUGGCUGCGGUAUACUGACCGUGCAAAGGUAGCAUAAUCAUUAGUUUUUUAAUUGAAAGCUUGUAUGAAAGGUUUGAUGAGAAAAUAGCUGUCUCUAUAAAAAUUUAUUAGAAUUUUAUUUUUAAGUUAAAAAGCUUAAAUAAUUAUAAAAGACGAGAAGACCCUAUAGAGUUUUAUAUUUUAUUAAUUUAUUUGKUUUAGUAUUUUAAAUUUUAUUUUAAUAAAAUAUUUAGUUGGGAUGAUUGAAAAAUUAAAUAAACUUUUUUUUUAUCACUACAUUAAUUUAUGAGUAAUUGAUCCUUUUUUUAAGAUUACAAGAUUAAAUUACCUUAGGGAUAACAGCGUAAUUUUUUUUGAGAGUUCAAAUCGAUAAAAAAGAUUGCGACCUCGAUGUUGGAUUAAAAUUAAUUUUUGGBGUAGUAGCUAAA
Molecule: ribosomal RNA, 479 nt
Filed under: Cionus alauda
Lineage: Eukaryota; Metazoa; Arthropoda; Insecta; Coleoptera; Curculionidae
Description: partial 16S ribosomal RNA
Source: RNAcentral